UGGGGAAUAUUGGACAAUGGGGGCAACCCUGAUCCAGCGAUGCCGCGUGUGUGAAGAAGGCCUGCGGGUUGUAAAGCACUUUCACAGGCGAGGAUGGUACUGAUAUUGAAUAGGUAUUGGUAUUGACGUUACCCUGAGAAGCAGCACCGGCUAACUCUGUGCCAGCAGCCGCGGUAAUACAGAGGGUGCAAGCGUUAAUCGGAAUUACUGGGCGUAAAGGGUGUGUAGGUGGUUAGAUCAGUUCACUGUGAAAGUUCCGGGCUUAACCUGGAAAGGCCGGUGGAUACUGUUUGACUAGAGUACAGGAGAGGGCAGAGGAAUUUCCGGUGUAGCGGUGAAAUGCGUAGAUAUCGGAAGGAACACCAGUUGCGAAGGCGUCUGUCUGGCCUGCUACUGACACUGAGACACGAAGGCGUGGGGAGCGAACAGGAUUAGAUACCCCCGUAGUCC
Molecule: ribosomal RNA, 450 nt
Filed under: uncultured prokaryote
Description: bacterial SSU rRNA
Rfam family: Bacterial small subunit ribosomal RNA
Source: RNAcentral